CGGACGAAGCGAACUACAUCGGGACGCUUUGGCCGCCGAGCGAAAAAAAAACACCAUUGAGCUCGACCUCAGAUCAGGUAGGAGUACCCGCUGAACUUAAGCAUAUCAAUAAGCCGGAGGAAAAGAAACCAACAGGAUUGCCCCAGUAGCGGCGAGUGAAGCGGCAAGAGCUCAGAUUUGAAAUCGUGCUAAUUUUUUUGGCACGAGUUGUAGAGUGUAGGCGGGAGUCUUUGUGGAGCACGGUGUCCAAGUCCCUUGGAACAGGGCGCCUGAGAGGGUGAGAGCCCCGUGGGGUGCCGUGCGAAGCUCUGAGGCCCUGCUGACGAGUCGAGUUGUUUGGGAAUGCAGCUCCAAGUGGGUGGUAAAUUCCAUCUAAGGCUAAAUACUGGCGAGAGACCGAUAGCGAACAAGUACUGUGAAGGAAAGAUGAAAAGCACUUUGAAAAGAGAGUGAAACAGCACGUGAAAUUGUUGAAAGGGAAGGGUAUUGGGCCCGACAUGGGGAGUGCGCACCGCUGUCUCUUGUAGGCGGCGCUCUGGGCGCUCUCUGGGCCAGCAUCGGUUCUUGCUGCGGGAGAAUGGGUGCCGGAAAGUGGCUCUUCGGAGUGUUAUAGCCGGCGCCAGAUACCGCGUGCGGGGACCGAGGACUGCGGCUUCUGUCUCGGAUGCUGGCACAACGGCGCAAUACCGCCCGUCUUGAAACAUGGACCAAGGAGUCUAACGUCUAUGCGAGUGUUUGGGUGUAAAACCCGUACGCGUAAUGAAAGUGAACGUAGGUC
This 778-nucleotide ribosomal RNA is filed under the name Pichia membranifaciens. RNAcentral's name for it is "LSU rRNA". It matches the Rfam family "Eukaryotic large subunit ribosomal RNA", at positions 1 to 737 of the family's 3401-position model. The record is from RNAcentral. Lineage: Eukaryota; Fungi; Ascomycota; Pichiomycetes; Pichiales; Pichiaceae.